UACGGGGGGGCAAGCGUUGUUCGGAAUUACUGGGCGUAAAGGGCUCGUAGGCGGCCAACUAAGUCAGAUGUGAAAUCCCCAGGCUUAACCUGGGAACUGCAUCUGAUACUGGAUGGCUUGAAUCCGGGAGAGGGAUGCAGAAUUCCAGGUGUAGCGGUGAAAUGCGUAGAUAUCUGGAGGAAUACCGGUGGCGAAGGCGGCAUCCUGGACCGGCAUUGACGCUGAGGAGCGAAAGCUAGGGGAGCAAACGGG
Molecule: ribosomal RNA, 252 nt
Filed under: uncultured bacterium
Lineage: Bacteria
Description: partial 16S ribosomal RNA
Rfam family: Bacterial small subunit ribosomal RNA
Source: RNAcentral